RNAcentral lists this ribosomal RNA (284 nucleotides) under Escherichia coli. Its description in RNAcentral is "partial 23S ribosomal RNA". It matches the Rfam family "Bacterial large subunit ribosomal RNA", at positions 936 to 1220 of the family's 2925-position model. Lineage: Bacteria; Pseudomonadati; Pseudomonadota; Gammaproteobacteria; Enterobacterales; Enterobacteriaceae. The record is from RNAcentral.
UUACCAACCCGAUGCAAACUGCGAAUACCGGAGAAUGUUAUCACGGGAGACACACGGCGGGUGCUAACGUCCGUCGUGAAGAGGGAAACAACCCAGACCGCCAGCUAAGGUCCCAAAGUCAUGGUUAAGUGGGAAACGAUGUGGGAAGGCCCAGACAGCCAGGAUGUUGGCUUAGAAGCAGCCAUCAUUUAAAGAAAGCGUAAUAGCUCACUGGUCGAGUCGGCCUGCGCGGAAGAUGUAACGGGGCUAAACCAUGCACCGAAGCUGCGGCAGCGACGCUGAUG